UAUCUAUUUACAAAAAAAACAUAAAAUUAUUUUCUUAUUAUUAUCAAAAGAUAUAAAAUUUCAUUAUAUUUUUGUAGAAGUAAACCCACAUCAACAAUACAUUAUUUACAACCAACUUUCAAUUAAAGAACAACAAUUUUUUGGAAGUGAUUUGGAAUCCCUCAGGUUUAAGGCACCCAAACAUCAUAAGUUCAUAACACUUCAUGGGUACCGUGUAGAACAGGGACAAGACAUGUUUGUGUAUGAUUAUCUUUUUUAAACAAAAAACGGAUAAACAAGUCUUUGCUGCGGGUCAGGUGCUAUCUUCAAUGAUACAGAAGAAUUUGUAUUAUACUUCGAUUAUUUGUGUCAUAUGGUACAGAUCAAUAAGAUUUUGGAAGGAAACUCUUUAGUGUUAGAAAAUUAGCAUGCAUUCUUGUGACAACUGCCACAAAACCGGCAACUAGAUGGAUGUAUGCGCGGUUCCCUUGUUCAAGCUGUUUGUUUAUGUUUCAAGUUGUUUUGAGUCGAUGCUCCAUGCCACCUUUGCAGGAUUUGCUCGUUAUCUGUGACAACCCGAGCUUUCAAGGUCUUUCCUCGACACGUUGCUUGUUUUCACAACUAUGUUCUCAUAAUUCAUUGCGUUGUAACGGGUGCACGUUUGCUAUAUUAUUAUUUUAUUAUUGUUUGGUCUUAUGAUUAAUGAAUUUGAUUAAGGUAUUGAAAACUCAUUAACUGUUUGAGAUUAGAUAAACUUAAC
This 739-nucleotide long non-coding RNA is filed under the name Helianthus annuus (common sunflower). The record is from RNAcentral. Lineage: Eukaryota; Viridiplantae; Streptophyta; Magnoliopsida; Asterales; Asteraceae.